AUGCUCCAACACAGCACCGGCAGUCCAACGAUGCUCCGUCGCAGCUCCAUAGCAGCACCGACGACUCUCGGAGAUGCUCCAUUGCAACCUCAUUGCUGCACGGCGCGGUGCUUCGUCGCAGCUACAGUGCUACACCGCCCCCAUCGUCGGUGCCUCCAUGAAAGCUGCAUUGUAGCUACGCCGCCUCCCUCGAUGGUGCAGCGAAGCAACGAUGCACCCAUUGUGGCGCUGCCGCCGGCUACCUCGAGCAUCGGAGCCACCGAAGAGCUCCAACGGAGCAGCACCGAAACUGAUGAAAAAAAGCUUUGCAACGCCGACGACACCCCAGGGAAGCUCCAUGGCAGCACCGCAGCUCCAAAAAAGCUCUGA
This 369-nucleotide ribosomal RNA is filed under the name Triticum aestivum (bread wheat). Its description in RNAcentral is "partial small subunit ribosomal RNA". Lineage: Eukaryota; Viridiplantae; Streptophyta; Magnoliopsida; Poales; Poaceae. The record is from RNAcentral.